This is a long non-coding RNA of Peromyscus eremicus (cactus mouse), 541 nucleotides long. RefSeq lists it as uncharacterized. Lineage: Eukaryota; Metazoa; Chordata; Mammalia; Rodentia; Cricetidae. The transcript has 3 exons. The record is from RefSeq and is a predicted model, not a curated record.
CAGGCACUCUACCACGGAACUAGAUCUUCAGCCUACAAAUAAAAUUUCAGAAGAGAGACUCCAUGCAGCAUAGCCAGCCUAUGUCAGCUGGUUCAGAGUCGUCAGUCUCAAGAAUGGCCUUUGCUUGGGAAGCAGACAGAGCUGCAGAUAGAACAGAGCCUCUGUCCUGUGGAAACAGACAGAACGCACGAUAUCAUCGUGGAUCAGUCUGAGGCUUCUCUGUGAUGGAAAAGGUCGAAAUGUGAUGGAAUAUGGCAGCAGGCUGGACAGAGGAGACUCUUGGCUUUUACUAGUGUGUACUGAGUUUUAUUUGCAUCAUUCAAAGAAGAGUCAUACAAGAAGAGAAAAGAGAAUCAGUGUAAACCUGUGAAAGGUUUAUUAAUGGGAUCUGUUUUUCACAUGAAGACCAUACAUGGUAGGAACAAAGCAAAAAGAACAGAAAUGAAUACUAAGCAGCUCUUUUCAUUCUUUGGUGAAAGAAUUUCCUACUGCUCUGUGGAUUCUGAGAUUCUCUUUCAUAGUCUACCCAUUUAUCAGCUUG